RNAcentral lists this ribosomal RNA (648 nucleotides) under Escherichia coli. Its description in RNAcentral is "partial 23S ribosomal RNA". It matches the Rfam family "Bacterial large subunit ribosomal RNA", at positions 582 to 1230 of the family's 2925-position model. The record is from RNAcentral. Lineage: Bacteria; Pseudomonadati; Pseudomonadota; Gammaproteobacteria; Enterobacterales; Enterobacteriaceae.
GAGCAAUCUGUGUGACUGCGUACCUUUUGUAUAAUGGGUCAGCGACUUAUAUUCUGUAGCAAGGUUAACCGAAUAGGGGAGCCGAAGGGAAACCGAGUCUUAACUGGGCGUUAAGUUGCAGGGUAUAGACCCGAAACCCGGUGAUCUAGCCAUGGGCAGGUUGAAGGUUGGGUAACACUAACUGGAGGACCGAACCGACUAAUGUUGAAAAAUUAGCGGAUGACUUGUGGCUGGGGGUGAAAGGCCAAUCAAACCGGGAGAUAGCUGGUUCUCCCCGAAAGCUAUUUAGGUAGCGCCUCGUGAAUUCAUCUCCGGGGGUAGAGCACUGUUUCGGCAAGGGGGUCAUCCCGACUUACCAACCCGAUGCAAACUGCGAAUACCGGAGAAUGUUAUCACGGGAGACACACGGCGGGUGCUAACGUCCGUCGUGAAGAGGGAAACAACCCAGACCGCCAGCUAAGGUCCCAAAGUCAUGGUUAAGUGGGAAACGAUGUGGGAAGGCCCAGACAGCCAGGAUGUUGGCUUAGAAGCAGCCAUCAUUUAAAGAAAGCGUAAUAGCUCACUGGUCGAGUCGGCCUGCGCGGAAGAUGUAACGGGGCUAAACCAUGCACCGAAGCUGCGGCAGCGACGCUUAUGCGUUGUUGGGUA